CAGGCCUAACACAUGCAAGUCGAACGGAGAUUAACGCUGAAUUGAUAAUUAGCUUGCUAAGAGGAUUUUCUUGUUAAUCUUAGUGGCGGACGGGUGAGUAACACGUGAGCAACCUGCCUUUCAGAGGGGGAUAACGGCUGGAAACGGUCGCUAAUACCGCAUGACAUAUUCGGAUGGCAUCGUCUGAAUAUCAAAGGAGCAAUCCGCUGAAAGAUGGGCUCGCGUCUGAUUAGAUAGUUGGUGAGGUAACGGCUCACCAAGUCGACGAUCAGUAGCCGGACUGAGAGGUUGAACGGCCACAUUGGGACUGAGAUACGGCCCAAACUCCUACGGGAGGCANCAGUGGGGAAUAUUGCACAAUGGGGGAAACCCUGAUGCAGCAACGCCGCGUGAAGGAAGA
This 400-nucleotide ribosomal RNA is filed under the name uncultured bacterium. RNAcentral's name for it is "bacterial SSU rRNA". It matches the Rfam family "Bacterial small subunit ribosomal RNA", at positions 43 to 411 of the family's 1533-position model. The record is from RNAcentral.